RNA transcript from Myxocyprinus asiaticus (Chinese sucker), 2678 nucleotides. It is a transcript of the gene named 39S ribosomal protein L40, mitochondrial-like, with no coding region annotated. The transcript has 3 exons. Lineage: Eukaryota; Metazoa; Chordata; Actinopteri; Cypriniformes; Catostomidae. The record is from RefSeq and is a predicted model, not a curated record.
UAUGUUUUUUGUGGAAAGUGCGCAUUUGACCAGCAGAGAUCCACACUGACCGUAUUAAAGCGUUAAAAAACAACGUUAACGUCUCAUCGCUGAUGUUUUUGUAAUCGAGAUUAAUGUAAAUUAUGGCAGGGAUUGUGUGCCGUACCGUGAGCCGGAUCAUAUCCAGCCAGACUCAAUCAUCAUGUUGCAGUUCUGUGGUUGCUGUCAGACACAGUCACUGGUUUACAUCAGUGCUUCCACUGAAAACAUCAAUGCCUUUAAGGAGCCGAGCCUAAAAAGAAAAAGAAAACUGAUCCACGGCGAGAACAAAUGAUGAAGGAACGCCUGAAGAAGAAGCUGAAAAAACUGGAGAAAGUUCCACCUGAACUGAUUCCUGUUGAAGACUUUGUUACACCUGCCAAAUGCUUCGAUGAGACCAGGUCAAAUAAAUACGCAGAAGAACCCAUAACUACAGUCUGGACACACUUACUUACUCUUUAUUAUGACGAUUUACAUUUUAGAAUAACAGUAAAGUGUCAAUGACAUCACAAUUUGUUUUGUUCAGUGACAGUAUACAAAAAAUACAUGAUGAACAUGUUUUCAAUUUCUGAGUUAAAAGUAAUUUUUAUAUUUGUUCUGAGGCUUAAAUUAAAAAAUGUCAUGUGGUGUAACCGUCCAGAGACGGUUAAAUAAAUAUCAAAGUCUCAAGCUGAAGUUCUGGAAAAAAGACAUGUUUGCAUGAGUAAUGCAGAGUAAUCUUUUAUUAAAUUUAAAUUUUUAAAUUAGCAAUUGAUUUAUAAUUUUGUUUUAAUAGGAUUAAUAUUUGAAAGACGUUUGUCCACCAAAUCAGAGUAAUGUGGUGUAACUAACAAGUAGGUAGAUAUUUUGUUGUCAAGUGACUAUAAAAGGUAAAACAGACCCCUUUAGACCUUCAAGAAUGUGUGUGAAAUAAAGAAAAAGAUCAUUAAAUAUCAAUUUACAUUUUAUUUUGUUCAGGUCAUGUGGUGCAACCCUGAGAAAAUGUCUUGAUAUUCUUAACUCAAAAAUUCAUGAUAAUUGUAAAAAAUAUUUUUAAACUUUUAAAAUAUCUUUGAAUACUUUAUUGAAAUUAAUGAUUAAGUUGCGUACACUCUCUUGUAUUUAAUGUGCAAGGAAAAUAUUUUACAGGAAGACACAAAGAUUACAUUUCUACAAACUUGUGUUUUAAUCCUUUAAGCGGGGGGCCGCGAGAAAGAAAGUUUUUGUCAAUAUAUUAAUAACUACAGUCUUCACCAACACAAAAUAGGUAUCGUUUGAAAGUGUAGAAGCUCUACUUUCCAAUGCAUGUACACAUUAUGACCAAAACUGAACAAGUGCUUUGAAAUUUGCAGACAAAUCAGAAUUGUUCAGUUUUGAUCAUUUAUAAAGAAAAUUGCUCUGCACAUAUUAUUGCAAUCAGUAAAAACAUCAAACUGAUCAAAUAUCCAUGUGUCAUAUGUUGUUGGAAAGCUCUCAAAAAGUAGAAUACAAACAGCCUUUUUUUUUACUCAUAUAGUGAGUAAUAGCUAAGUAUAUGUGUGUGACAAUUAUGUUGCUGUUGCUUAUAUACCAUGUUUUUGCUUAUAACUUAAGAAAAAACUAACGGUACAUAAAAUAUCAGGAGCCGAUUAUCUUUCAAACGAGUCCACACACAAGGUAAUCAGAUGUAUAGAUCAUUAGAUAAUCCACAUGAAGCACAAUGUUACAUAUGACCACCAGGAGAUGGCGCCAAAAACAUGACACAGACUCAAUGAUGACUCAAAUGACACAGAAUGAAACUCAUUCUGUGAAAUCUCAUUACUAAAAUCAUGUCUGCAUGCUAUGCAAACCUUUAGUCAUUGUUGUGUUUGCAUGUGUAAUUAGUUCUUAUGUACAAUUAUUAUGUUUUAUUUGUUUGGAGAGGCUUUUGGACACUAUGAUAAAUUAUUUUUGUAAUGCUAUAACUUUCGAUUGCUUUGUUGUAUCAAACACAACAUUUUUCUCAGAUACAGUUGACAUGAUUGGGAACAAAACAAAUGUUUUCGGAGCCGCCUUAUUUACACCCAGAGAUAUAUAAUGUCAAAAAUAAGGUUUUGGCAAAAAAAAUUCUGAUCUUUCAGCAGUUUCUUAGGCUGAGAGUCUCAGAAUAUAUCAUAAUUUAUAUCAUUAAAAAUGUUUUAAUGUUUUCUUUACAAUGAUAUCAAACACUUGACCCUCCUUUAAUUUUGUGUAUGCUACUGAAACAGGAAAUCUUUAAAAACACCUUCAGAGCUUAAAGGGUUAAACUAGAAUUCUCAUUUUUAUCACCUUGGACGACCUUAUUUGUCAAUGACCCUAAAGCCAUCAAAACUUUGAAAUGACACAAAUGAAAGCUUUCUUGUAUUUGAAGUGGUUGUUUGUGUAAAUACCAGCUCUUCACACUCUCAAGCAACUUUAUUUAAAAAUUAAUUAAAAAUGUUAGGUAUUUGAUUUGAAAAGACAUGUACAGUAUGCACAAUUUAUAUUUGUCUACAAACUGCUUUCAUGCAUUUAAGCAGAAGCCUUAAGAUCAAGUGUUGAAAUUCUGAUGAUUAGUAGUGGUAGUGUAAAUCAGACCAGCUACUGUUUUUGAAGCAAAGUUAAAUAAUCUUAAAUUGGGUUUACCUGAAAGGCUCUAAUUGGUCAUUUAACGAAACUCUUAUCUAACCUGAAUUCUUUGUAUG